UCUGCCGCCGAGUUACCAAAGUUCAAGCAAAGAAAGAACCGAAAAAGAUUACAACAAAUGGCAUUAGGGUCUCGAUCGAUAACCGGAGAUCUAGCAAUCGAUAGAGAACGGUGAAGAUCUUAUGCACGUCUAACCGCCAUCGACAUAGCCCUCGCCAAUCUUCUUCGCGAAUCACCUAACACUCUCUACAUUACAACCAAGUAAGUAAAACUCAGACACAUUCACUCAUUCAUUCAGAUUCGUAAACCACUAUUCUUGCGGUUGUUUAUUUGUGAUGUUCUAUGUUCUAAAGACAAGUGAUAUGUAUUGGAUGACUUCCAAUAUUUUGCAUUGGAUAUGUAUUUUUUAGUUUUUUAUUUUGAUUUUUGUAUAAUGCUUUUCGAUGAUUUUGACACAAACUACCCGGGACUGCAACAAACUUACAACAGCAAGGCAUGAAUCUUAUGGUGGAGUUCGAUUGAAAAAAAUGGGUGCCUUCCAGUAUUUUGGACUUAAGGAAGAUAGUACCUCUAAUCAUUAUUCAGCAGAUUGAUGGCAAGAAAUUUUUCAAGCCCAAUUUGGAACCAGAUCACCUUGCAGCCUGGGUGAAGGAAUACAAGGAUGGAAAAUUUGCUCUUUCAGUACUUGAAGAAUUUCUUUUCCCUCCACACUUUUUUAGUUCUCUUCCAUCACUUCAGUACACUUCUCUUUCCUUAUUAUGUCAUUCACUGAUUCAUGCUUCAACGCUAACCGGUGAUUUAUUUAACUUCAAGUUUUCUGUUUCCCAAUGAAAGCUCCACCAUUCUCAAGUUUGAAUACAUCAGUGGCUAUUUGGAUGAUCCCAUUUGAACUUAGUGGAGCAAUAUGGGAAAAGAAACCAUACAAGAAACCGCAAACUCUGUCAUUCAAUUCUGGUUCAUAGGGUGCAUUUGAAGACAGAAGUUUCUCCUUUAUUAAGGAUGUCAAGACCAUUGACAACAUGAUUUGUCUUAGGUUUUGUUUGGAUUGAUGGAAUCGGA
Long non-coding RNA from Vicia villosa (hairy vetch), 998 nucleotides. RefSeq lists it as uncharacterized. The transcript is spliced from 6 exons. Lineage: Eukaryota; Viridiplantae; Streptophyta; Magnoliopsida; Fabales; Fabaceae. The record is from RefSeq and is a predicted model, not a curated record.